Long non-coding RNA from Suricata suricatta (meerkat), 433 nucleotides. RefSeq lists it as uncharacterized. The record is from RefSeq and is a predicted model, not a curated record. NCBI's taxonomy places the organism in Eukaryota, Metazoa, Chordata, Mammalia, Carnivora, Herpestidae. The transcript has 3 exons.
CUUGAGAAUUUCUUGCUGUAAAAUCUUACCUGUUUAGUUUAAGGAUUUGGUUUGUAUAAAAAUGCAUAUACUUGCCAUGGGUUAUGCGAGAAAGCCUUGUCCACCAUGAAUAGUGCAAAAGGAGCAAGAGGAUGUGAAAAAAGCAGAGAAGAAAAGAAAUGUGACUUCUUUCUUCAAAUGAAAGACCCUCAUCAUUUCCAGUGCAUCAUUUAAUUGAUCUCUUUAAAGCUGACUUCAAGUGAAACUGGAAGCACAAAGUUCCAGGUUCUUCUGGCAAUAAACCCUAAGAAGGCAACAUCCAACGAUAAAGAUUUGGAAGAGGGAACACACAUAUCAGAGAAGAACAUUUCAAGACUGAAUAUAUUCAGCACACACACACAAAAGAGAUAUAAAUCUUUUAUCUUAUUAAGGGAAAAAAGAAAAUAAAUUAGAG